RNAcentral lists this ribosomal RNA (620 nucleotides) under uncultured fungus. Its description in RNAcentral is "eukaryotic LSU rRNA". The stretch from base 178 to 331 matches the Rfam family "5.8S ribosomal RNA". The record is from RNAcentral. Lineage: Eukaryota; Fungi.
UCCGUAGGUGAACCUGCGGAAGGAUCAUUAUCGUUGGGGCUUCGGCCCCGUCGAGAUAGAACCCUUGCCAUUUAUUUGCGUACCUGUUCGUUUCCUCGGUGGGCUCGCCCGCCAAUGGGGACCUUAACUUAACUCUUGUAUCAUCGUCUGUAUAGUCUGAAUCAAAAUUAAAAUUAAAACUUUCAACAACGGAUCUCUUGGUUCUGGCAUCGAUGAAGAACGCAGCGAAAUGCGAUAAGUAGUGUGAAUUGCAGAAUUCAGUGAAUCAUCGAAUCUUUGAACGCACAUUGCGCCCUUUGGUAUUCCGAAGGGCAUGCCUGUUCGAGCGUCAUUAUCACCCCUCAAGCCCCCGGCUUGGUGUUGGACGGCUUGGUGGAGACCCUUUUGUGGCCCACCCCUCCCAAAGACAAUGACGGCGGCCUCGUUGGACCCCCGGUACACUGAGUUCUUCACGGGACACGUAUCGGACACACGGGUUUACGGGUCACGGUCUGCCUCCCCUCAGGGAGAACUUUUCUAAGGUUGACCUCGGAUCAGGUAGGGAUACCCGCUGAACUUAAGCAUAUCAAUAAGCGGAGGGAAGUCGGACUGGCCAAGGGGCACACCAGGGGGGGGGGAUA